This is a non-coding RNA of Pelobates cultripes (western spadefoot toad), 431 nucleotides long. The record is from the annotation of a GenBank genome assembly. NCBI's taxonomy places the organism in Eukaryota, Metazoa, Chordata, Amphibia, Anura, Pelobatidae.
CCAGACUUUGGCCCCUGGAUUUAGGUUAGUAGAGCUAAAUCCCUUAUCUCCUCUUACUGUUUGUGAGAUGGGGGCUGUUCCUUUGUGUACCUGUCCCUGGUAAAUGGGUGUUGUGGUACCUGAUUUAACAAGAGGACCUUUAUUUCUCCUUGGUAAUCAGCGUCUAUGACCCCUCCCAUUACAUGUAUCCCUUUAAGGGCCCGGCUAGACCUGGGUGCAAUUAGUCCAAAGUGUCCCGGGGGUAUCUGUAUUCCUAUACCUGUGGGGAACAUCUGAACUUGCCCUGUUUGAAGUCUUUCUUCCUUUCUGGCUUGCAAGUCUAUUCCUGCAGCCUCUGAGGUAGCCCUGUAUGGUGCCAUGGCUCCCUCCUCUGUUUCCCAAUAUGUGAUGGUGUUAGUUGCUACAUAUGGUUUAGCUUGUAUAUUGGGUGC